UCAAGCUCAACACAGGAAAUUUCAAUAAU
RNAcentral lists this small RNA (29 nucleotides) under Bombyx mori (domestic silkworm). RNAcentral's name for it is "piRNA piR-bmo-1801325". Lineage: Eukaryota; Metazoa; Arthropoda; Insecta; Lepidoptera; Bombycidae. The record is from RNAcentral.